RNAcentral lists this ribosomal RNA (1449 nucleotides) under Triticum aestivum (bread wheat). Its description in RNAcentral is "partial small subunit ribosomal RNA". The record is from RNAcentral. Lineage: Eukaryota; Viridiplantae; Streptophyta; Magnoliopsida; Poales; Poaceae.
CCUUCCCCGGCGGCACGCACCGCCACCCCCACCUUCCUCCUCCGGCUAGGUGCGCUGCCACGAUGCGACCCCCAGCCAGCACGCGCCACCGCCUCCACCUCCCCCUCACGCAGCACCUCCACCGCGACGCACCCCCUGCAAGUUCACGCCGCCGGCCACACCUUCCUUCCGCGUCAGCACGCACCGGCGCGACGCAUCCCGCCGCCUAGCAUCCUGGUGCAACAUCCAAUGAUCCACCGACCCGCAGCCCUGCGCUCUGCCACACCCGCUGCCCGAUCGAGCCCCUGGAGAACAUCCACACGAGCACGUGUGUUCAAUUUCUGCAUUUCUGCUACUGAAAACAGAGGAGAACGGUUGCUAAGAUUUUCUCUGAACUUCCUUGUUCUUUGUGACGAGACCUGCUCAACUCUCCCUCUAUGAACUCCUGCAAAACAAUUUUAUUUAUCUUUUCAUCUUUAUCUUUCUGAACUGAAUUGGACUGGGUUGUGUCAUAUUCUUAUUAAUUUUCCCAUCUGAAAAUGGUAUGAUAUGAAGGAACAAUCUAGGUGGACGAGAAUUUCAAGUUCAUUUCUGACUGCAGAUACUUCGAUUUUUAUUUUCAAGUAUUAAAUUUCUUGGAUAAAUCACCUCUGUCAACGCCUUGCCGGUCAUCAUCCCAAAGUUCACCUCUGUCAACGAUGCCGUUCAGUUGUUGAGGCAAAGCCAUCCUCAAGACACAGAAGAUACGCACUCGAUUAGCAAACUCCACAAGUGAUUUGCACAAACACUUCACCUGGAGGUAUUGACCUGCAGCAUGCCGCGUCUGCCGCUGCCGCCGAGGUCCCCCCACAUACAGCCGGCGCUGCGGCAACCACCCCCCACCACUGUCUGUUGCCGAUGCGUGCAACCACGUCCAGCCGCCCACUGGACGUGGGCAGAGAGGCAGGGCCACGCUGAGAGCUCAAGAUCCACCACCCGCAGUCGCUUCCCCUGCAGGUUGCAGUGGAAAAACAAAAGGCAGAAGUUCAAAGAUGAAAUUUGAAGAAGGAAAUAUACAACAAUCAAAGAAGUAGCGGUCUCAUUACAGAGAAGGAGAACGCCUUGCGAGCCAGCCGAGUUGACUUCUGCCAUCGGCACUGCGUAAUAAUCACUGGAUUCCCAUGGCCACCGGCACUGGAUAAUUAGCACUGAACGACUUGCAAUCCAGAAGAAAGUUGCGCCCAUAACCCGUGGAGAUCUAUCACGUUGUGCAGUUGGUCGUGAUGUCUCCCGGAGCUUCAAUUUUAUGACCCUGGUGCAUUUUCUUCUUUUUUGAUGUGCCAUUUGAUGCAUAAAUUUAUCACUGGAUGCCCAUGGUGUGUGCAUAGUAUGUGUUUGUGUUAGUUCCCGACAGGUUCCUUCAUGUACUUCAUGGUGAUGGAUAGAGAGAUCCAUUAUUCAUUUGUAUAGAAGUUCAAAUUUAAAUAAAAU